UUAGGCCUCAGAUCAGGCAAGACUACCCGCUGAACUUAA
RNAcentral lists this ribosomal RNA (39 nucleotides) under Trichoplax sp. H8. Its description in RNAcentral is "partial 28S ribosomal RNA". Lineage: Eukaryota; Metazoa; Placozoa; Uniplacotomia; Trichoplacea; Trichoplacidae. The record is from RNAcentral.